CUACUAACUACUCCCAUCUCAUCAUCAAGAAAAAAGAGUUAUAGGAAUAUUACUAUAUUAGCCAUUGAAGUCAAUUAUUGGCUUGGUAAUUUUCUUAGCAUUAUAAAUAAGUGUAAAGAUUGAUAGAUCGAGGACACAAAUUCUAUAAGCUCAAAUUUAUUUUAGCUAUGGAGAGAAUUGCCAUCUUUGCCAUCAUUUUGCUCGUGUCUUUGUGCCAACAUGGGCAAGCAGGAAAGGAAACACCGUUGACGACACAACCAAAAGGGAGAUAUUAGAUGAGGCGAAGAAGGUGUUAGAGAGAGAGGAGUUAAAGGUUUUACAAGAGGUUGCAAGAGAAGUAGCAACGGCAGAGCAACAACCAUUGAAGAACCUCAAAGCCUGCGCAAAUCCGGGGGAAAACUGUGCAUUUAUUGACUGUUGUGAAAUUAGUGGACAUAAUAUCGACUGUCUAGGCAAUCGUUGUUAUGACUGGAAUGAUCGCCCCUAUCCUCCGAUCGAUAUAUACUUAUCUAAUAAUUAAAGCUUAUUACAAAGCUUUGAUUUCUUGUGCUUACCAUAAUAUCACGUAGCUUACAUAGUUACAUGUAUGGCUCUAUGAAGCUACGUGUAUUAAUGAAUAAAACUAUAAAAGUGGACGUUGUAUCUUAUGCAUGUGUUUUAUAUGAAUUAAUAUUAAAGUUGUUGGUUGCCUAA
Chenopodium quinoa (quinoa) is the source of this 693-nucleotide long non-coding RNA. RefSeq lists it as uncharacterized. The record is from RefSeq and is a predicted model, not a curated record. NCBI's taxonomy places the organism in Eukaryota, Viridiplantae, Streptophyta, Magnoliopsida, Caryophyllales, Amaranthaceae. The transcript has 2 exons.